Molecule: ribosomal RNA, 253 nt
Filed under: uncultured bacterium
Lineage: Bacteria
Description: partial 16S ribosomal RNA
Rfam family: Bacterial small subunit ribosomal RNA
Source: RNAcentral
UACGAAGGGGGCUAGCGUUGCUCGGAAUCACUGGGCGUAAAGGGUGCGCAGGCGGGUUUUUAAGUGAGGGGUGAAAUCCUGGAGCUCAACUCCAGAACUGCCUUUGAUACUGAAGAUCUUGAGUUCGGGAGAGGUGAGUGGAACUGCGAGUGUAGAGGUGAAAUUCGUAGAUAUUAGGAAGAACACCGGUGGCGAAGGCGGCCCACUGGCUCGACACUGACGCUGAGGUGCGAAAGCGUGGGGAGCAAACAGG